CACGUAGUUAGCCGGGGCUUCUUACUCAGGUACCGUCAUCUUCUUCCCUGCUGAUAGAGCUUUACAUACCGAAAUACUUCUUCACUCACGCGGCGUUGCUGCAUCAGGGUUUCCCCCAUUGUGCAAUAUUCCCCACUGCUGCCUUCCGUAGGAGUUUGGGCCGUGUCUCAGUCCCAAUGUGGCCGGUCACCCUCUCAGGUCGGCUACUGAUCGUCGCCUUGGUGGGCCGUUACCCCUCAACUAGCUAAUCAGACGCGGGUCCAUCUCAUACCACCGGAGUUUUUCACACAAGAACAUGCAUCCUCGUGCGCUUAUGCGGUAUUAGCAGUCAUUUCUAACUGUUAUCCCCCUGUAUGAGGCAGGUUACCCACGCGUUACUCACCCGUCCGCCACUCAGUCAAUCUAGCUUCCAUACCGAAAACUUCCCGCUAAAAUCGCUUCGUUCGACUUGCAUGUGUUAAGCACGCCGCCAGCGUUCACUCCUCGAGCCAGACUCAAAACUUCCG
Molecule: ribosomal RNA, 506 nt
Filed under: uncultured Lachnospiraceae bacterium
Lineage: Bacteria; Bacillati; Bacillota; Clostridia; Lachnospirales; Lachnospiraceae
Description: partial 16S ribosomal RNA
Source: RNAcentral